UGCCAGCAGCCGCGGUAAUACGAAGGGUGCAAGCGUUACUCGGAAUUACUGGGCGUAAAGCGUGCGUAGGUGGUUCGUUAAGUCUGAUGUGAAAGCCCUGGGCUCAACCUGGGAAUUGCAUUGGAUACUGGCGGGCUAGAGUGCGGUAGAGGAUGGCGGAAUUCCCGGUGUAGCAGUGAAAUGCGUAGAGAUCGGGAGGAACAUCUGUGGCGAAGGCGGCCAUCUGGACCAGCACUGACACUGAGGCACGAAAGCGUGGGGAGCAAACAGGAUUAGAUACCCUGGUAGUCC
Molecule: ribosomal RNA, 291 nt
Filed under: uncultured bacterium
Lineage: Bacteria
Description: partial 16S ribosomal RNA
Rfam family: Bacterial small subunit ribosomal RNA
Source: RNAcentral